GUUCCUCCCCCACCUCUUGGAGUUUAGCAGCAGCUAAGAAAUGUGACCCCAAGGUCACAUUCAGAUUAGAACUCAGUAAAACCUGAGGGUCUGUUAUUUCAUGGCAAUGGCACCCCACUCCAGUACUCUUGCCUGGAAAAUCCCAUGAAGGAGGAGCCUGGAAGGCUGCAGUCCAUGGGGUCGCUGAAGGUCGGACACAACUGAGCGACUUCACUUUGACUUUUCACUUUCAUGCAUUGGAGAAGGAAAUGGCAACCCACUCCAGUAUUCUUGCCUGGAGAAUCCCAGGGACAGAGGAGCCUGGCAGCUACAGUCCCUAGUAUCACAAAGAGUCAGAUAUGGCUGAAGCUACUCAGCGUGCACGCACACGUGGAGAGGGUUUGCAUGGGAGGGGAAUCUGGCUUAGCAUUGGUUGCAUUCAUUCCCCUGGGGUGGGAGCCUAGAAAGAGAGGGUGUCAAGUGGCUCUGGCAACUGAGUCCCGUCAGGGUUGCCCUCAGGAUCAGGAUGAAAAGAGGGAAAUGAGGAGUCCCUGCUCUCUGGGAACUGAAGAGCUAACAAGCAAAGGGGAUAAACAGGUUUAAGGAAAAGGAAAGAGGGUGUGUUUCAUACGGUGUUUCUUCUUCUCUUUUCUAGUUCUUUGCCAUAAUGAUAGUGGAUUUGAAGACUGGACCCAGGGCCUUGCUGAGGGCCUCAGCUUGAUUACACUAAACGUUGCACAGGAACUUGGGUUGGACAGUGAACUCACAAAUCAGAAUAAAUGAUCAGUUUUACUAGAAUAGCUCUUCUGUAUUGGGGAUGGAUAGAAACUCCUAUGUUAAAAGAAGCCACUAAAGAAUCAUUGCACAUUUUACUUAAUGGUUCUAUUACCAGAAAAUUAAUGGAAAGGAUCCUUAGGAGAAGCAGCCCCCCCAAACCAUGAGUGAAGAUAUUUUCGGGGCAGUUGACAGUUGUUAACUCAGCUCUGUACACUGC
Bos taurus (domestic cattle) is the source of this 973-nucleotide long non-coding RNA. Lineage: Eukaryota; Metazoa; Chordata; Mammalia; Artiodactyla; Bovidae. The record is from Ensembl.